Syngnathoides biaculeatus (alligator pipefish) is the source of this 1966-nucleotide long non-coding RNA. RefSeq lists it as uncharacterized. The transcript is spliced from 2 exons. The record is from RefSeq and is a predicted model, not a curated record. Lineage: Eukaryota; Metazoa; Chordata; Actinopteri; Syngnathiformes; Syngnathidae.
ACACUCUGUUGGGAAUGUAACCCGAUGCAACCAAAUAUCCUUUUGUAAAAGCAAGAGAUACGACUUUAAUCGAGAGCUGUUCCAUAAUCAACAAGAAAUCCACCAGGAAUUCUUAGAUACAUUGGUUUUCGGGCUAUGGACCAGGUAUGAUGAGACUAAGAAUCGGUUCCCCGAGGUUUUCAUCUCUGAACACAAGAGGGCUCUUAAAGGGGAAGUCCAGGGAUUGAAUUAACAAUGUAUACGAUCAUGACAUAUGUACUGUACCUAGAAAAAUUGAGCUUAAACCGAUAGCUUUUAAUGUUGUUUUGAGACUAUUUUUAUCGGCAAUUUUGAAUGCUCCCUGUCACUGCUAUUUUGGCGAGUCACAUGACCUACGUGUGCGGAUGUGACAUCUCAUGUGCGCAAACAGGCUCGGUUAUGUUUCUACACAAACAUGGCCAGCGCUGAUUUCUCAUAUUUGUCCUCAUCUGAUGAAGAAAUAGCAAUAUCAGUAGCUCAGGAAGACAGAAGAAUACGUCCAUGCAGAUUUGCACCUGUGGCUGUAAAUAAUGUUGAAUAUUCAGAUGGUUCUUUGGACGGGAAUGAUGCGGAGUCUGACUAGUUGGAUGCCGACGCGUGGGAGAUUAAGUGUGUAAACAAAGGGUCGGUUAAAUUCCUACACAAUCAUGGACAGCGCUGAUUUAUCGGACUUAUCCUCAUCUGAUGAAAAAAUAGCACUAUCGGUUGCUAGGGAACACUGAGGAAUACAGGGAUGAGACUUUUCCGCUGAUCGGCGGAUUUGCGACUUUUUCAGACCAAAAUGACCAUUCUCGAGAUAAGCGCAAAUCCCUUGAGAUUUUUUAUUUUUUUUGGGGGGGGGAGUGGGGUAUCGUGCGCCUGCCUCUCGGUGGUGGGCUCCGAGCUGAAAGUUCAGCUUAGUGCUAGCACCAGCACGACUAUCAUAUGCCAUUCUAACUUGCUCGAUAGUGUAAAUAUUUGCAUUUUCCGACAUAAGCAUUACAACUUGUUUGCGGCAGAUUACUCGAUUGGACAACAGAGUUAUACAGUAUAACGAUCCAAUCGUGUUAGUGGUAAAUCAAGUUUCACCAUUGUCUUGUACUUGUGUUCUCGGUUCUCAGAAAUCGCAGUGUAACUUGCUAGUUAUCAAAGUAAUGGCGCAUGGGACUUCGCGCAAACGGAGCGACGGUGUAUUAAAAGAUUUACGAUGGCGAAAGUGUUAGAAAAAAAGGAUGUAGAUGGAGCGAGGGCAAUUGACAAGAAUGCUGGAAUCAAAAACUGUUUCAGACGGGCAUGGCUUGAAAAAAGUGUACCCGUGCAGAUAGGACCGAAAACGGUAUCAACAUGUCUAACCGAACACGUACAAAAAGUGGACAUUCCUGGCAAAGUGCUGUGCACUCUGUGUUCCGAUAGGAGCAAAAAAUAUCCAGGAGGAAAGUCAUUCUCAUCCCUGGGAAUACGUCCAUACAGAUUUGAACCUUUGGCUGUAAAUAAUAUUGAAUAUUCGGAUGAUUCUUUGGACGGGAAUGACGUGAGUCUGACUACGCAGAGGCCGACGCGCAGGACACGCCAUUCAUCCAUCCUAUCGAUUUUAGAGCAGCGGAGGACCGCACUCGUGGCCAUGAAGGAUGGUAGAACCCAUCAGUGAAAGCCGCAAAGGGGUCACUCAAGCGGAAAAGGGAAGAGUGAGCCCAGUGAAAUAUAUGUGCCGAGGAAGUGACGUUUACCGGUAUGUUUUUUUUGUUGUUUUUUUUUUUUUUUGCCGGCCCUGUUAGCGCUGUGCUAGCGUGUUGUUGCUGUGUUACUGCCGUGUCUUAGUGAUUUUUAUCGGUAUGUUUUUUUUUUUUAACUGUUUGUGCUGUGCUACCGCCGUGGCUGGUUUAUUUAUUUAUUUUUCAACCAGCCCUGUUUGUAUUACCAUGUUGCUGCUAUGUUAAGAUAAGAUAAGGUAUUAAAACUUUGAAAACUC